RNAcentral lists this ribosomal RNA (881 nucleotides) under uncultured fungus. RNAcentral describes it as "eukaryotic LSU rRNA". The stretch from base 1 to 241 matches the Rfam family "Eukaryotic small subunit ribosomal RNA", at positions 1593 to 1831 of the family's 1831-position model. Lineage: Eukaryota; Fungi. The record is from RNAcentral.
UUGCUCUUCAACGAGGAAUUCCUAGUAAGCGCAAGUCAUCAGCUUGCGUUGAUUACGUCCCUGCCCUUUGUACACACCGCCCGUCGCUACUACCGAUUGAAUGGCUUAGUGAGAUUUCCGGAUUGGCUUUGGGGAGCUGGCAACGGCACCUCGUCGCCGAGAAGUUACUCAAACUUGGUCAUUUAGAGGAAGUAAAAGUCGUAACAAGGUUUCCGUAGGUGAACCUGCGGAAGGAUCACUAGAGAACACACGCUUCUUCGGAAGCUCUCUACCCUUUCACACACACCCUGUGCACCGUUGCCCGUGUCCCUGGCCCAUGCUUCGUUUGGUGCUGGGAUGCGCGGCUUUUCCAUACCUUUUUUUUGAAACGCAAGUGAAUGCAUGUAUAACCAUAUUCUAAAUCAAUAUAACUUUCAACAACGGAUCUCUAGGUUCUCGCAUCGAUGAAGAACGCAGCGAAUUGCGAUAAGUAAUGUGAAUUGCAGAAUUCAGUGAAUCAUCGAAUCUUUGAACGCAUCUUGCGCUCUCUGGUAUUCCGGAGAGCAUGCCUGUUUGAGUGUCAUGAAACUCUCACCCCUGCCCUUUCUUCACGGACUGGGUCCUGGGCGUGGACGUGAGCGUGUGCGGGUGCCCUGGCUGCAUCGGCUCGCUUGAAAAGCAUUAGCUGAAUCCUCGCGGGCGUGGUUCGACUCAACGUGAUAAGGAAUUCUCGUUGGGGACAGUGCCGUGUGUGUGAACCACAGACGGGCUGGCCACGGACGCGGGUGGAAUCGCUUCCAACCAGCACAGACUUCGGGAGCUGGCAACACUCUAUUUUGACCCUCUGGCCUCAAAUCAGGUAGGACUACCCGCUGAACUUAAGCAUAUCAAUAAGCGGAGGA